RNAcentral lists this ribosomal RNA (275 nucleotides) under uncultured bacterium. RNAcentral's name for it is "partial 16S ribosomal RNA". It matches the Rfam family "Bacterial small subunit ribosomal RNA", at positions 524 to 796 of the family's 1533-position model. The record is from RNAcentral.
UACGAAGGGGGCUAGCGUUGUUCGGAAUUACUGGGCGUAAAGCGCACGUAGGCGGAUCUUUAAGUCAGGGGUGAAAUCCUGGAGCUCAACUCCAGAACUGCCUUUGAUACUGGGGAUCUCGAGUCCGGAAGAGGUGAGUGGAACUCCGAGUGUAGAGGUGAAAUUCGUAGAUAUUCGGAAGAACACCAGUGGCGAAGGCGGCUCACUGGUCCGGUACUGACGCUGAGGUGCGAAAGCGUGGGGAGCAAACAGGAUUAGAAACCCCGGUCGAGUCC